Molecule: small nucleolar RNA, 231 nt
Organism: Sinocyclocheilus anshuiensis
Lineage: Eukaryota; Metazoa; Chordata; Actinopteri; Cypriniformes; Cyprinidae
Source: Ensembl
AACACGCUCCUUAGAUCCACCUCUGGGGAGUUUCUCCGCUCCGAUUCUGUUGUGUUCUCUGUCUGGGAGCAGCAGGAUUGGGCCGGAGGCUCCCAGCAGCUUUACGGCUGUACAGUUGGAGGUGCUUGAGUCAUUGGCGUGUGAGAUCAGUCUACCUGCUCACCCAGAAUCCUCUCUGCCCUGAUCCUUCACAGGAAAAUGCCAGGGCAGAACAGCUGGAGAGCAGACAAA